This 270-nucleotide ribosomal RNA is filed under the name uncultured prokaryote. RNAcentral's name for it is "partial 16S ribosomal RNA". It matches the Rfam family "Bacterial small subunit ribosomal RNA", at positions 524 to 794 of the family's 1533-position model. The record is from RNAcentral.
UACGUAGGUGGCGAGCGUUGUCCGGAAUUACUGGGUGUAAAGGGAGCGUAGGCGGGAGUGCAAGUUGAAUGUUAAAUCUAUCGGCUCAACCGAUAGCCGCGUUCAAAACUGCAUUUCUUGAGUGAAGUAGAGGUUGGCGGAAUUCCUAGUGUAGCGGUGAAAUGUGUAGAUAUCAGGAGGAACACCGGCGGCGAAGGCGGCUUGCUGGACGGCAACUGACGUUGAGGCUCGAAAGCGUGGGGAGCAAACAGGAUUAGAUACCCUGGUAGU